Molecule: ribosomal RNA, 406 nt
Filed under: uncultured bacterium
Lineage: Bacteria
Description: partial 16S ribosomal RNA
Rfam family: Bacterial small subunit ribosomal RNA
Source: RNAcentral
AUUGAACGCUGGCGGCAGGCCUAACACAUGCAAGUCGAACGAGUGGCGGACGGGUGAGUAAUGUAUGGGGAACUGCCCGAUAGAGGGGGAUAACUACUGGAAACGGUAGCUAAUACCGCAUACUCUCGGAUGUGCCCAUAUGGGAUUAGCUUGUUGGUGGGGUAAAGGCUCACCUAGGCGACGAUCUCUAGCUGGUCUGAGAGGAUGACCAGCCACACUGGAACUGAGACACGGUCCAGACUCCUACGGGAGGCAGCAGUGGGGAAUAUUGCACAAUGGGCGCAAGCCUGAUGCAGCCAUGCCGCGUGUAUGAAGAAGGCCUUAGGGUUGUAAAGUACUUUCAGCGGGGAGGCGUUACCCGCAGAAGAAGCACCGGCUAACUCCGUGCCAGCAGCCGCGGUAAUUC